AUGUUACUGCUUUGGGAAUAUCUAUUGUAACUCUUAUCCUUCCGCACACUCUGCUGUCGUCACCACUGCUGUGGCUAAUCCACUACUAUUUGGCAAGAAAACUGUUUAUCCAUUCUGUGUUAGGGUAGAUAGCUGAAGUAAAAGCUGGAGGAGGAGAAGGCAACCAGCAAAGUACACUGUGUUUGCUCUGCAGCACAUUAACAUGCUAGCUAAGCUAACAAGGAGAAGAUGACCAAGUGUUUUGGUCAUUAGACUAAUUUUGUCAUCGGGUUUGAUGACACACUCCCAGAUAAACUACAAGGAUAUUGUGACUAGAGGUAGCAGGAAAGUAGUAAAGACUGUAUCUGCGUAGAUUUCAUAACUAACUAUCCUGCACUUUUUCUCUACUUUGCCAUGUGGAGAAUCACUCACAUCCUGAAUACUAACCUUGAUCAACUUGAAUUGCUGCAUUAAAGUAGGUAUGUUUAUGGCUCAGUGUCUCAAUUUCCUCCAUUUUUGGCUAUCUUUGUGUUUGUUUGCUAAUGGCUCAGACAGCCAUUUUUUGAUACCACAAGCCCCAGUGUUGCAUAGGGAAAGAAACAAGACAAGGGCCAUCCAUCUGAGAAACAACGCAAACAGUAUUUACCCCACACCCUUACUUUUUUAGAGUUUGAGGUUGUUUGGUUUUUUUUCAUUCUGUUUUUUCAGAGUAUAUUAGUUUAUUUCAUUAGCUAUUUAUGCUAGGAAAAACCAAACCAAAACUAAUUGCUGUAUCCACCCUCAGGAAAAAGAAAGAAAAGAAAAUUAUCAAGGGAAACUUAAUCCAUCUGUCUCUCCAAAAGCUAAAUUACUCAGAGUGCUGUGAAAGCAGAGCUUCUGCAGGACUUGGAGCAGUGUUCCUCAUGGGAUCUUUGAAUACUCUGUUCUUCUGAGGAAUUGAUCAUACAUCGAAGAAUGGACUCAGAAUAUAAAGAUAAGAGGAUUUACCAGGCAAAAGAGUGAGACCAGAUAAAAGAUGAGUCACUGUCAUCCUUAAAAUGGAGCCGACAGAAUUGGGAAAGAACAGGUUUUUGGUUUUAAGCUGUAUUUAAUACCAAAAAAACCUUUGUUAUAACUUGAUUUUACUUUUUCCCCACAAUGUUUUCCUUUAAGUAUUUUGAUUAAUAUUGCCAAAUUAUUGCCAAACAGGCUUAUUUUCUGCAUUCAAACCAGGCCUGUGCUUGUAAGUACAAUGCACCUGCUAGCUUCAGUGUACUCUGCCUCCUGAAUUCUUGUGAAAUCACAUUUACCCAUGUAAAUACUACUAAAAUCCUUUGGUCGUGGUUGCAGUGACACAGGGCAUUUGUACCAGAACCCUUGCACCAGGCACAAGGGAAAGCAUCAGAGUAUUUUAACUUGCAUUUUGUUGUGUUUCAGAGUUUUUAAAAUCCAUUUUCCCUCAGGGGGAGGGGGUGUGGGGGGGGAUGAUGCAGCAAAUCUCACUGUUUCAUAUCGGAGUGGGUGAGAUUUUCUGGUAAAUGACGUGGGUAUAUGGUUAGUACCACAGUGGGAUCAGUGAUAUCAUUGCUCUAUGGCAAUGGAAAUUUUGAUGCUGACUGAGCAAUGAAAACCCAGAUUGACAUUGAUGAGCAAAUGUGAUUCACCACUAAUUUAUCCCCAGGUAUUGAGAUGGCCAUGAAGCAUAUUUAACUUGUCUGCAAAUCUAUAUAAUUUACAAAUAUGUAUGUAGAGAGCUUGAAAAUUAAUUUUCACUAACUUUUGUCUUCUAACUUUUCUCUGUGAUUGCUUUUGCUUGCCCAGCCAAGAAGCAGGUGACCAAUAAGGUAUGAAUUGCCAAUGGCUAAUGAAUAAUAAUCAAAUGAAUAGUUUGUAAAUAGCCCUUAACCUGAAAGCUGCUUUUCUGGUAUAUCUGAUGAUUUCUUACAAAUCAAAAUGUAUUUUUCCUGUUUGAUGAAUAUACAGGUACAUAUUUAUACAUGCACAACUGACAUGCCUUGUAGAAGUACACAGAUUUCCAGUCUGAGGCAGCGAUAUUUGAACAACUGCAGUUUGGAUGAGCAGCAGUUGAGGAAUUUAGCAUAGACUAGCAUAGUUAAACAAGAUUUCUACAAUUAUAAAUUGAUGAUGUAAAGUUUCAGUAAUUUACUCUUGAUAUUGACAGAACAAUUUGGGACUAAUCUGUCUAAAGGACCAGCUUUAAUUUUUUCAGGUGACUGGCUCUUGGUUUUUGUCAAUCAUUUCAGUCUGAUUAGAUCUUUAAAUUUAAACAUUUUUGUACAAGAGUUUUUCUAAUAAGAAAUUGUUAAUUGCUAAACAAACAGGCUGCAAUAACAAAAUACAAUUCACUGAAAUUGUUUCCAUUAGUUAAGCUUUCUCUCAGAGAAUUUAAAUAUUUGCUGAAUCUCUAGUCAUUGUGCAGCAGUUUUCAGGAAAAAUGUAAUGGUUGGACUGAAGGAAAAAAAAGCGUCUCGCACAAAUAGGCAUGCGAAAUAGAAGUUAUUAAACUAUUUUGGUAAAGUCCAAUGUACUAAGAGAAAGUGGAUCACAAAAGCAGAUUCAGUUUUCUGCAUUUUAGUUCAGGAUUUUUAGGCAACAGGUUUUAAGAACCAUGCAGAUGGAAACAGUUUAGUAAAACCUAAGUCUUCUUUUGUUUUGUGGGGUUUUUGUUUGUUUAAUUAGAGUAUCUAAUCUGUUUUUGCAUUCUAAACUUUUUGAAACUCGGUGGAUUGUUUCUUCCUGUUACUGAACAUUCAGCUGGCUGGAAAUGCACUUUAAUUUGAAAGCGUUGCUAUUUUCAGAAGAAUAUCUUUUUCAGCGUUACAGAUUGAUACAUAAAGACUCCAGCUUUAACAGGAGUUGGUGUGUAUUCUAGCAUUAAAAGAAGUCCUUAAAUGAUAAAUAUAAAAUACUUGAACGACUUAAAACCCAAAAGCGUAGGUUUACACUGUUUUCAAAGCAGGAGUCGAAAUUCGAAAGAGCGAGCCUAAUUUUGAGCGGAAAUAGGAAGACUGCCGUAGUUCGAUGAGGAUUCCCG
RNAcentral lists this long non-coding RNA (3013 nucleotides) under Corvus moneduloides (New Caledonian crow). RNAcentral's name for it is "lncRNA (ENSCMUG00000017903.1)". The record is from RNAcentral. Lineage: Eukaryota; Metazoa; Chordata; Aves; Passeriformes; Corvidae.